RNAcentral lists this ribosomal RNA (465 nucleotides) under uncultured bacterium. Its description in RNAcentral is "partial 16S ribosomal RNA". It matches the Rfam family "Bacterial small subunit ribosomal RNA", at positions 28 to 507 of the family's 1533-position model. The record is from RNAcentral.
GACGAACGCUGGCGGCGUGCUUAACACAUGCAAGUCGAACGGAAAGGCCCCUUUGGGGGUACUCGAGUGGCGAACGGGUGAGUAACACGUGCGUAACCUGCCCUUGACUUCGGGAUAACUUCAGGAAACUGGGGCUAAUACCGGAUAGGAAUCCUUGCUGCAUGGUGGGGGUUGGAAAGCUUCGGCGGUUUUGGGUGGACUCGCGGCUUAUCAGCUUGUUGGUGGGGUAGUGGCUUACCAAGGCUUUGACGGGUAGCCGGCCUGGGGGGGCGACCGGCCAAAUUGGGACUGGGAAACGGCCCAGACUCCUACGGGAGGGAGGAGGGGGGAAUAUUGCAAAAUGGGCGGAAGCCUGAUGCAGCAACGCCGCGGGCGGGAUGACGGGCUUCGGGUUGGAAAACGCUUUCAGCAGGGGCGAAGCUUGUGGUGACGGUACCUGCAGAAGAAGCACCGGCUAACUACGUG